GCGCUCGAACUUGACUUGAGAGCGCGAGAGAGAGAACGACCGCAGCAGGUGCGCGAGGGAUUCCGCGCCUUCAUUUAGCGAUGCAGGCAUGGUAAAUAAAGCAGUUUAUUGAACUAAUCAUGUCUUGACAGCAGCCACGGGCUUGUUUUGAACCACUAAAGUUGCAUUUGUUUACUGGAAAACGCAAUGCCGUCGCAGGACGAGGCUGAGGCGGUAAAUGAAGACGACUGUCCGCCUCCAGUUCCGCCGCGAGCGAAUCUUCAGCAAAAUUCACCUGAGCCCCGGGUCAAGUGUGUGCUGGUCGGGGAUGCAGCGGUGGGUAAAACGAGCCUGAUCAUCAGCUACACCACUAACGGAUAUCCGGCGGAACACAUUCCCACCGCCUUUGACAACUUCACAGCUAGGGUUGUGGUGGAUGGAAGACCAGUUCAACUUCAACUGUGUGACAUGGCAGGACAGAGAUGGGGGGCAGCGGAUCAGCCUCUAUAUGACGAGUUUGAGCGCCUCCGUCCACUCUGUUACCGUGACGCUGCCGUCUUCCUGCUCUGCUACAGUGUGGUCCUUCCAUCCUCUUUCAGGAGCAUGAUGGACCGCUGGGCCCCUGAGGUUCAUCGGCUCUGUCCGGGAGUUCCCAUCAUCCUCGUGGGCACCCAGUGUGACUUGCGGGAGGAUGUCCAGGUGCUGAUCCGACUCGCAGACGGCCAGGAGAAACCGGUGAGCAGAGACGAGGCCCGCCUGUGCGCCCGGAGCAUCGGCGCCGUGACGUUUGCUGAAUGCUCAGCACUGACGCAGAAGAACCUGAAGGAAGUGUUCGACGGUGCCAUCUUGGCCAGCAUGUGGCACGCGGAGGAGGCGGCGUGGCCGACGAUGCACACGCUAAGAGACAAAACUCCAGAUAAAAUCAAACAGCUCUCGGAAACAUGGUGGAGGAAACUGAGCUGCGUCCAGAGCUUUGACCUUCAGUGAUGGAGAAUCCAGUUACGCCACACAGCAGUGGAUUAGCUGAUCCUGUGAACAGACUGAAGAUCAGGACUGAAGGAGAGGGAUUUGAUGUCUGAGUUACACCUGCUGUACUCCUGUAUAGUGUCAUUACCAAACUCUUCAGCGUGCAGAUCGGCUCCUGUGCCGCUGCAGAUCCUGUAAUGGGUCGAGACAGAAGCCACCUGUGGGAAUUAGGUGGGCAGAUGGCGACUGGUUUUCCCCUCACAGUAUCUCUUGACCUCAACCCCCACCUGCUGCGGAAAUCAUGCAGGAAUAACAUCAGAACAACAGGCCUUGAGAGCUGUUCAGUUCACCCCACUGAACCAGGGUGAUUUUAUCAGUAGGACUCACUGAAGCGUAGUCUGUAUGUUUCUGAUAAUUCAUUUAAUAACUGGUAUUCGGGGCUGGGGGGAUGACAUGUCUUAAUGAGUGUGAGUUGCAUAUUUUUCAGCAGCCAUGAUUGGAAACAAUAUUUUGUCACUUGUCAAUAGUUAAAUCUAAGGAUUUAAAGGUGCUGUAUGUAGGAUUGACACCGAGUGGUUGAACUAG
Sinocyclocheilus rhinocerous is the source of this 1530-nucleotide RNA transcript. It is a transcript of the gene named rho-related GTP-binding protein RhoU, with no coding region annotated. The transcript has 7 exons. NCBI's taxonomy places the organism in Eukaryota, Metazoa, Chordata, Actinopteri, Cypriniformes, Cyprinidae. The record is from RefSeq and is a predicted model, not a curated record.